AGAGCAUGAUUUGCAAGAGGAACUGCUACACAUUUUACACUUAUUUACUCCAACCUUUCCUGCUAAUUCCAGGUUUAUUGGAGAAGACAGAAUGACUGAUGACAGAAGCACCUGCGAUCUUCUUCUUGUGCUGUGGGCUUCAGGGGAAUCCAAGAGUUCCUGGCAAAGAGGAUCUAAUGAAGACUGACAUUGAUCAAUAAAGGCAUGGGGUUAAAAGAGCAACAAUAAGAAUACCUUAAAGUUGUACUCAGAAGAUAGGAGCUAUCUCUGCUUCCUUUCAGAAACAUCAUUAUUACCUUGAAUCAGAGCCUGCCAGAAGCAUUUUGCACAACAAUUGUAAGAAGAGACUGAAACUUCAGAAACACUUUUAGCAGUAAACACUGGUGAUGAUGCAGUGUUUUCCUGUGCAUAAAAAUUCAUAUAUUUAUUUGCAGAUAUUCAAGUGCACCUAGGGAAAAGAAUCCCAGCAACAGAAUUUCUUGUUCAAAACUUUGGUAUUUUAAAAUCACAUUGUAGAUCUGCAUUUCCAAACAACAACCAAAACUGCUGGAUGCAAGGUGGCUGCUUACACUACAGACCUGUUACAUAUAUUCCAACCCCAUAAUGCUAGGGGUUUACAAGGAUAAUAUUUGUGAACUUUCACAUUCUAUGUAGCGGUCACAAUGAAGUCCUCUAAAGGCAUCCUUUGAUGGAAGCAAUUUGGACGUUUAUGAUGGCUCAAAGCAAGGUUCCAAGCAAUGAGACUACAUUAGUGUAGAUCACCAAUAUAAAUAGAACAGCUAUCAUAUCAUAUCAGUUCUGUCCACAGCACGUGAGUAGGAGAAGUUCUGAAAUAAGAUCAUCAGGAACAAAGAAAGGAGUAUUUCAGAAUAUAUUCAGUUGAUUCCAGAGGUAGCCAAUCCUGCUUGAUUGAAUGUUUGCAAAAUUCAAUUCUCUGUUUGCAGAUUUAGGUACAGCAGGUCUUUGAAUAACAGUCAUUUCAUUCAACAUUGUUUCCUUAUAACGUUGAUGAGAAAAAAAGAAUAUAUAUAUACAUAUAUAUUCCCACUGGGGUUCACUGUCUGGGUAGAGUCUACAUGUUUUCCCCAGGUCUGGAUGGGUUUUUUUCUGGGUACCCAGGUCUCCCUGACAUUCCAAAGUUAUGCACAUUCAGUUCAUCUAAUGGUCCCAGUCAGAGUGAGUGCGGGGGGUCAGUGAGUACACCUGGUGAUACUACCUGUGUAGGGAUGGUUGUUUCCUGUCUGGUGUCCUAAGCUGCAGGGAGAAGCUCAGGCCACCUGCAACCCUAAACUGGAAUAAGCAGAUCUCGAUGGAAAGUUCAAGACAAAAUCAGUUUAAGAAUUUAGAAAAUCUUAUCGCUUCUCGGCCUUUUGGCUAAGAUCAAAUGAAGAAUUUAGAAAAUCUUGGGACUUCUUUAUUCCAUCUGUGCAUACGGUACUAUUUAUAAUUUGGGGGUUGGGCUUCUGGUUUGUAUUAUAUUUAGUUUUAUAUAAGUCAGAGACUAUAUGCCUAAAUCAACAUAUGCCCAGUGGUUGAAUGGUGGGCUCAAUUUUUUCCAGUGAAAAUAUAUUGCUUGGAAAACAAAGUAACUGACUCAAUUUUAUGAUGGCUAAAUCCAAAUUUCUUAAAUUGUAUACUUUCUCUGUCAAUCAAUAUCGAUGUUUUAAAAUUAAUAUCAUGCCCUUACAAAAUGAUCCUUAUAUCAACUGCAUUUGCAUGUUUUUGUUUGUUUGAUGACAAAGUCUUGCUCUGUCACCCAGGCUGGAGUGCAGUGGCACAGUCUUGGCUCACUGCAAUCUCUGCCUUCCGGGUUCAAGCGAUUCUCCUGCCUCAACCUCCUGAGUAGCUAGGAUUACAGGGGCAUGCCACCACGCCUGGCUAAUUUUUGUGUUUUUGGUAGAGACAGGGUUUCACCAUGUUGGCCAGGCUGUUCUCAAACUCCUGACCUUAGGUGAUCCACCCGCCUUGGCCUCCCAA
Long non-coding RNA from Homo sapiens (human), 1977 nucleotides. NCBI's taxonomy places the organism in Eukaryota, Metazoa, Chordata, Mammalia, Primates, Hominidae. The record is from Ensembl.